GCGGCAAACGGGUGAGUAAUAUCUGGGAAUCUACCCAAAAGAGGGGGAUAACUACUAGAAAUGGUAGCUAAUACCGCAUAAAGUUGAAAAACCAAAGUGGGGGACCUUUAACAGGCCUCAUGCUUUUGGAUGAGCCCAGAAGAGAUUAGCUUGUUGGUAAGGUAAAAGCUUACCAAGGCAACGAUCUCUAGCUGGUCUGAGAGGAUAGCCAGCCACACUGGAACUGAGACACGGUCCAGACUCCUACGGGAGGCAGCAGUGGGGAAUAUUGCACAAUGGGCGAAAGCCUGAUGCAGCUAUGCCGCGUGUAUGAAGAAGGCCUUAGGGUUGUAAAGUACUUUCAGCGGGGAGGAAAAAAAUAAAAUUAAUAAUUUUAU
This 377-nucleotide ribosomal RNA is filed under the name Orthezia urticae. RNAcentral describes it as "bacterial SSU rRNA". It matches the Rfam family "Bacterial small subunit ribosomal RNA", at positions 95 to 471 of the family's 1533-position model. Lineage: Eukaryota; Metazoa; Arthropoda; Insecta; Hemiptera; Ortheziidae. The record is from RNAcentral.